This 1982-nucleotide long non-coding RNA is filed under the name Paramuricea clavata. The record is from RNAcentral. Lineage: Eukaryota; Metazoa; Cnidaria; Anthozoa; Malacalcyonacea; Plexauridae.
GUCAUUUCACGAUAAUAUGCUUGAAAAAUAUGUUUUCAAACACGGACUUUCACUUUGUUCACAAUAUUUAUUUCAGCAAAAAAUGUAUGACACAAAUGGAUAUAUAAAGAAUAUUUUCUUGACUUGUUUAUUUCACUGCAGCUAAACCAACUUUUUAGAUUGUUUACUUGGGGAAAACAAUUAUUUCAAAAUAUCUGUUCAAACUUGGGUUUUUUUGCUGUUAUGUGGCCGAAUACAUGGACAUUUUAACAAAAAUAGAUAGCUUUAUUGGAGUGAGUAUACAUGAGACAUGUUAAAUAACUUUCUGACUUUCGGUUGCAUAUUUCUCUCAAAAUAAAGUCAAUUCUGGUGUACAUCGUAUUUUGACCAUCGUUAGGCUACGAUUUUCAAACUUCUUCGGCAGUUUUUGUACUUUAAAAAUUCUUUCACUUCUCGGUUUUGGCGCGAAAACCAGAGCUGGCAGUUGCAUCACACACGUCCAGAGCGGGCCGGAUGCAAACAACCGGCCCGCUCUAAAAUGCUCCUAGGCCUCAGCCAAUCAGAUUGCUUCAUUUUCACUGAUAAAAAUUAAACACUUCAUAUUUAUUACGAAAAAUUCAACCUUUCAACAUUGACUUGGAGGAACGGGGGAUACCUAUUUAGAGAAAGACCAUUCGAGGCCAAUGUCUGUGGAUUUCUCCACAAAGUGUUGCAUUGUAGCUCAUCUGAACUAAACAGUCGAUAGAACUACGUGCGUGUACUGAAUGUUAAUGAGGAAAAUUGCUUAAAUAUUUCGAGAUAUACUAGGCAUAUUUGUGUAUUUAUUGGUAAAAUUGGGAGGAAAUGUUAAAUUAAGUUUUAAGAAAUAUAUUACGUGACUCAUGCAGGCAUGAUUAUAUAUAAAAUAUGACAUAUAAGUAUUCUUUAUUAAGACGUCGGUCAUGGAUAUAUUUCCGGUCCUUUGCAGCAGGCCUGAAAAACUUUGCAUAACAAUAUCUGGAGCUUGUCUUACUCCUUUGUCUAAAAAUUGAAUUUAUUUCCAAGUAUGCUUAUAGUACAUUACAUUUACCGAGUUAUAUUAUUUAUUUAUGUUUACAUAUUUGGAAGAAGGACUAUAAUAAACUCAAAAGGCUUUUGCGAGUAGUCCUUCUUCAGAUAAUACUUAGCUAUAAUGUUAAUAUAUGUCUAUUUCUAAUAUCUAUCAGCUAAACAUUGCGGUUCAUCAGUUCAAUUGGAGUACAUAUAGUUAAAUUAUAUGCGGAACAAUUACUAAAUACAUUCUAUAUAAUCGUACUCUAAAAGUUGUUUUUUAUUCCCUAGUGUACACUAAUCAUUAUGUUUCUAAUUUUAUUCUAUAUAACAUGACGUUAUUUUUUUUUUUUUUUUUUCAAAUAUAUUUUCAUUUCCGUUUUGAAUUUCUUUUUUGUACAUGAAUCUUUUAUUUUUUUUUGGUAUUCCAUUCCAUAUAUCUGUUCCCCUAUAUUUUAUUGAAAAUUUUCCAUAAUUUGUUCUAUUGCCUUUUUUAUGGAUCAAAUUUGUACUUCUUGUAUUAUGCUUAUGAAUUUCGCUAUUCAAAGUGAAAUAGUUCUCAAAAAAGGUAGGUAAAUUUCCUUUUGCGUAAUCGUACAUAAAAAGGCUAAUGCAUAGUUUGUUAAGUUGCACAAUUUUUAACAGUUUUGUUUUUCGAAAAAGUGGUACCGAUUUUGCAUUAUAUGAACUUAAUGUGAUGAUUCUAACUGCUCGUUUUUGUAUUUUUAGAAUCUUUUUUAGUUUUGAGGGAUAAUUAUUUGCCCAAACUGCAUUACCGCAAUAUAGAAAAGGGUAAAUUAGUGUGUUGUAUAAUGUUGUUAAUGUGUCACUUUUUAGGAAGUUGCGUGUUUUGUUGAGUAUGCCAGUUGUUUUGGCAAUUUUAUUAGCUACAUAGUUUAUAUGAUCAUUCCAAGUUAAGUGUUGAUCUAUUAUCAUUCCUAGAAAUUUCGUAUUUUUGACAUGAGCAAGAUUAU